AGUGAACGCUGGCGGUAGGCCUAACACAUGCAAGUCGAACGGCAGCACAGUAAGAGCUUGCUCUUACGGGUGGCGAGUGGCGGACGGGUGAGGAAUACAUCGGAAUCUACUUUUUCGUGGGGGAUAACGUAGGGAAACUUACGCUAAUACCGCAUACGUCCUACGGGUGAAAGCAGGGGAUCUUCGGACCUUGCGCGAUUGAAUGAGCCGAUGUCGGAUUAGCUAGUUGGCGGGGUAAAGGCCCACCAAGGCGACGAUCCGUAGCUGGUCUGAGAGGAUGAUCAGCCACACUGGAACUGAGACACGGUCCAGACUCCUACGGGAGGCAGCAGUGGGGAAUAUUGGACAAUGGGCGCAAGCCUGAUCCAGCCAUACCGCGUGAGUGAAGAAGGCCUUCGGGUUGUAAAGCCCUUUUGUUGGGAAAGAAAAACAGCAGGUGAAUACCCCGCUGUUCUGACGGUACCCAAAGAAUAAGCACCGGCUAACUUCGUG
Molecule: ribosomal RNA, 492 nt
Filed under: uncultured bacterium
Lineage: Bacteria
Description: partial 16S ribosomal RNA
Rfam family: Bacterial small subunit ribosomal RNA
Source: RNAcentral